RNAcentral lists this long non-coding RNA (245 nucleotides) under Nicotiana benthamiana. RNAcentral describes it as "long non-coding RNA (NBEN_LNC009327)". The record is from RNAcentral. Lineage: Eukaryota; Viridiplantae; Streptophyta; Magnoliopsida; Solanales; Solanaceae.
CUAUUAGUAUGUACAUUGAAAGAGACAGAGUCUGAAUUAAAGUGAGAAGAAGAUUGGACUUGUCUUUGUUUCUCAUCAUUGAGGACCAAAUUAUAGACAUUGUCAAGAGAAGGAGGAGGCUGCAUCAUCAAAAGAUUACUCCUGAUCCCCAUAUAUGCUUCAUUCAGACCCAUUAAAAACUGAAAGACCUUAUUAUCAUCACUUUCCUGCACUAUACCAUCUUUUGCAGCACAAACACACCUNNN